RNAcentral lists this long non-coding RNA (497 nucleotides) under Brachypodium distachyon (stiff brome). Its description in RNAcentral is "long non-coding RNA (BDIS_LNC000733)". Lineage: Eukaryota; Viridiplantae; Streptophyta; Magnoliopsida; Poales; Poaceae. The record is from RNAcentral.
UGCAUUGUUGAAUCUUUGCUGCAUUAAUCGUGUCGAGUUGCUGGAUUAGAUUGGAUCAUUUUUCAGAUUUUUUCUACUAGAUCGAACUUGCUUUUGGUUUUCUUGUUCUUCGUGUGACGCAGGUUUCCUUCAUCAAUCUUCCGCCGCCAAACUUCCUGCCACACCACCGCCAUAAUCUUCCGCCGCCACCAUAUCUUCCACCGAGUCCCUCUUCGAGUCCUACACCGAGUCCCUCUUCAAGUCCUACACCGAGUCCUUCUUCCAGUCCUACACCGAGUCCCUCUUCGAGUCCUACAUCGAGUCGGGAAGUUAUAGUUUUCAGCCGCGAGUUCGAGUCCGAGUCCAAUCAAGAGUGCUUUUGGAAAGUGUUUCAUAAUAGAUCGAAUUUUGUUUAAAGAUCAUGUUGUUCGGAAAGUUGUGAAAAAAAAAGAAGGGAAAGAAAAAAAAAGGAAGAAAGAAAGAAAAAAAAAGGAAAAAAAAAAGAGAAAGAGUUCGAG